UUGACGUAGAGCGGCAUGCAAGAGAUUUCAUGGAAGCAGCAAAGAAGCUUCAGCUGUAUUUCAUCAGCCUACAACAUGAGGACCAGCCAACAAAAGAGGAAAUGCUGCGAAAGGAGAUCUCCAUCAUGGAGGAUGAGCUGAAGACCAAAUCUGAGCUGAUUAAGAAGCAUGAAAACCGCAUCGAAGCAUGGAGAGAAGAGUUAAAAGAGCAGCUUGAUAGGCACACUGCAGAAUUGCAGAGGGUGUAGACUUGCAGCAAUUUCGUUAAGUUUCAAUUAGAUACAUUUGGGAUUGCUGCUGAGGGUUAUUGCUAUAAUGGAACAUUUGCUGAAGGUUUAUGAGAGCUUUGCAUAUCAUUGCCUCCUAAGAAAGAAUGGGAGCUCUGCUUGGGAGCAAAGGGAAGUGAUUUAUUAGUUUAUAAAUUUAAUGUUUGCGGGAUUCAAAUUCAGAAUAUUAGCAAGAAUUUUCAAUAUCUGUAUCAACUAAACAAAUUGUCUCCCUCAAAAAUGAUUUUAUUAAGAAAGAGGGAACUACAGUUCCCUUUUUAGGCAAUGGAAUGUAUGUAAAUGGCUUUUUAGGCAAUAUUUGCCUCUAAUGUAAUUUGUAGGUUUCAAAUUUGAGCCAAAGAAAGAACUUUUUAUUAAUUUAGCAUUAAUGCCAUGUACAUUAGUAAUCUUACCC
Molecule: RNA transcript, 681 nt
Organism: Dendrobium catenatum
Lineage: Eukaryota; Viridiplantae; Streptophyta; Magnoliopsida; Asparagales; Orchidaceae
Gene name: mediator of RNA polymerase II transcription subunit 28
Source: RefSeq, a predicted model, not a curated record